UGGGGAAUAUUGGACAAUAGGCGAAAGCCUGAUCCAGCCAUGCCGCGUGUGUGAAGAAGGCCUUUUGGUUGUAAAGCACUUUAAGCGAGGAGGAGGCUACCGAGAUUAAUACUCUUGGAUAGUGGACGUUACUCGCAGAAUAAGCACCGGCUAACUCUGUGCCAGCAGCCGCGGUAAUACAGAGGGUGCGAGCGUUAAUCGGAUUUACUGGGCGUAAAGCGUGCGUAGGCGGCUUUUUAAGUCGGAUGUGAAAUCCCUGAGCUUAACUUAGGAAUUGCAUUCGAUACUGGGAAGCUAGAGUAUGGGAGAGGAUGGUAGAAUUCCAGGUGUAGCGGUGAAAUGCGUAGAGAUCUGGAGGAAUACAGAUGGCGAAGGCAGUCAUCUGGCCUAAUACUGACGCUGAGGUACGAAAGCAUGGGGAGCAAACAGG
This 430-nucleotide ribosomal RNA is filed under the name Acidobacteriota bacterium. RNAcentral's name for it is "Acidobacteria bacterium partial 16S ribosomal RNA". It matches the Rfam family "Bacterial small subunit ribosomal RNA", at positions 355 to 776 of the family's 1533-position model. The record is from RNAcentral. Lineage: Bacteria; Pseudomonadati; Acidobacteriota.